GUUGCUGGCCGAGGAAUGAGCAGAUUACUCCUAAGGUGGUUCCUUGGGGAUGUAAGUUUCUAUAGCUACUCAUCACUUUCGUCAUUUCAUUGUUUCUUAUCAUGCUGUGCACAAUCUAGAAGUUAAUUUGGAAUAGCUAACCUUUACCAAGGUUAAAUUCCUUGAUAACCUGUCCGGAUGGGCAUCUAAUAGUAUGCGCCAGAAUGCUUAGAGAAGAAAGAAGAUGACCUUUGUUUGCGCGGAAGUCAUUAAUUCAGUUCUCUUUCCUCUCUUCGGUGGUUUAUGCACCUUAAGAACUGGCUAAACUGGAUUAAGCGUAGCAGUUAUCCUAUUAAUUCUAGCUAAAGCCCAUUCUUAACCUUAAAGAAACUGCUUCUCCGGCUCUCCCUGCCUGUUGCAGCAACUGUAUUCUCUCACAGAGGGUCCUCUCAAUUGUGCUGUUUCUUCUUGGAGUCCUCUUUUAUGGGUUCCUUAACUAUUGUCCUCAGUGCAUGUGUUCACCCGUCACUUUAUGUCCGUUUGUUUCCUCCAUUCACAUGAAUAAUUUUGUGAUUCUGCAAAGACGUGUUUUAUUUUGUCCCCAGAUUUGAGGGGAAAAUUAGAGGCGGACAAAGGUUGGCAUAUUCUUAUAUUCUGAUACUAUCUCACGGGACAAUUGCUUCAGCUGGGAUAUGUAUCUGAAACGUAUUAGCAUAACUUUUGGAUAGGCUUGCCUCGUCUACUAUAGUAGUAGCACGUAUUGCCUCAUCUACUAUAGUAGUACUCGCGUAUUUGGUUUUAAGACCAGGUGGUGCAAAAUUGCUGUAACAAUGUGAUGUAGCAUUACCUCAAGGUCUUCAUUCUUUCUGCAGGUGGCUUGACAAGUGAGUUUGUAUCAGUGAUGUGAGAUCUUUCAGUGGUGAACUGAGUCUGAAGUUCUGCAGUUUUCUCAUCGUUGAUGUUCACUUGCACCAAUAAAACGAGCAAUGUAUAAGGGAUCAGUCCUCUUUCUCCACCCGAGUCUAAAGUUCAGCAGCUUUCAUUGUUGACGAACAUAUGCACAAUGGAGAACAAGUGUGCCUCACCCUGGUGCUACAUGUUACUUGCAGGAGCCAACCUUGGUGUCUAUUUGCUUUCCGGCCUUGGACAAGUCGAUGUGCUGCAUUAUACCCAUAUUAAAACUUUGAACUGACCAACAACUAAGUGUCUGCUUAACUAUAGAUGACUACAUUUGGAUUAUUAGAAAAAGAAAACGUUAUUUCUUCAGUUUUGAAAUUUUUGGAGUGGUGACAUCCAGACAUGUUUGUGUCAAUUGUUUUCUUAUUUUUUAUACAACUUAAAAGAUAAUAUAUACAAUACAAAUAAAUAACAUCAAGGUAUUUCUGAA
This 1366-nucleotide long non-coding RNA is filed under the name Capsicum annuum. RNAcentral's name for it is "long non-coding RNA (CANN_LNC008644)". Lineage: Eukaryota; Viridiplantae; Streptophyta; Magnoliopsida; Solanales; Solanaceae. The record is from RNAcentral.